This is a long non-coding RNA of Gadus chalcogrammus (walleye pollock), 905 nucleotides long. RefSeq lists it as uncharacterized. The transcript is spliced from 4 exons. The record is from RefSeq and is a predicted model, not a curated record. Lineage: Eukaryota; Metazoa; Chordata; Actinopteri; Gadiformes; Gadidae.
CUAGCGGUUGCUAUGGCCGUUACCAAGCCCAACCAGGAAGCAUACAGAGUUGGGUGAUUCUCCUGUGGAGAUCAUCAUGUCAUCAGAGGGUCCACAGCUUCUACGGAGGCCCCUCCCUGCAGAACGAGUCCCUCACCCGGUGAAAUCCCUCCAAUCUCCCAGAAUCCAUGCAGGGAAGCGACCGGCUCCAGUGAGCGAUAGCAGGAGGCUGGAAGCUCCGCCCACAGAGGCGAUGCCAGCCAGCACAGCAGUGGGCGGCUUCCCCCUCAGACCUGCACGCACAUUACCCAGAAUACCCCUGCUCCAAAUCAUCCGUACAGAUCCAAGGUUCCUCCCUCCUCCCCCCGCCUUCUGUCUAAGGGGAGCCGUCAUGGGGUCUGUGAGGAGCCCUGGUGGCUUCAGGCCCUGAAGCUCAUUAUAGGGGCCCAUCAAAGCCCUGUUUUUAUAAUACACUGACAGAAACGGAAACCGCUUUUGGUCGUAUUCACCCAGCAGCCAUCUUGUUUUAAAUGGGACCAAAAAUGGCUGAAGGGUCAAUAAAGCAAAUUUAUAUUGUUGUACUUGGUUUUUAGUCUCAAAGGGAAUAUAAAAUAAAUUAUAUCAUGGACUUUGAUUCUUUUUUUCAAGUUGUAUCUCCUCCAUAUUCUUACCUCUGUUAUCUAUAGUGAUUUAUGGCCUACCAGUGUUUCUUAAAUAUAUGAGAUUGAGAACAACUAUGAAGUUAAUUUACUUUCUGACGUUAGAUCAUCCUGCAGGAAGCGAUGUGAAAAGCCAAAUUUAUUUUUUGCCUCCCCAAAAUUUUGCAUGUUCAGAAAAUAUCACGUUAAUGUUGUCAUUACAUAUUCAGCGUAACAAAGUUUAGCGUCAGGCAGAACCGAAAGCAGCCGUUUGACGCGAAUGUAAAC